GAUGAAGAACGUAGCAAAAUGCGAUAAGUAAUGUGAAUUGCAGAAUUCAGUGAAUCAUCGAAUCUUUGAACGCACAUUGCGCCCGCUGGUAUUCCGGCGGGCAUGCCUGUUCGAGCGUCAUUACAACCCUCAAGCUCUGCUUGGUAUUGGGCCCCGCCAGUUCUGGCGGGCCCUAAAGUCAGUGGCGGUGCCUUCCGGCUCCGAGCGUAGUAAUUCUUCUCGCUCUGGAGACCCGGUUGUGUGCUUGCCAACAACCCCCAAUUUUUUAAGGUUGACCUCGGAUCAGGUAGGGAUACCCGCUGAACUUAAGCAUAUCAAUAAGCGGAGGA
RNAcentral lists this unclassified non-coding RNA (329 nucleotides) under soil metagenome. Its description in RNAcentral is "partial contains 5.8S ribosomal RNA, internal transcribed spacer 2, and large subunit ribosomal RNA". The stretch from base 1 to 120 matches the Rfam family "5.8S ribosomal RNA", at positions 35 to 154 of the family's 154-position model. The record is from RNAcentral.